ACAGUGCAGCUCCCUUAAGGUGAACACUUCAUCCCUGAAUGCAGCCCUCUAAAAUAAUCGACAGGAGAUUCAGUUUACAAAGGCAAGCAUGGACUUGGCUUUGAACCUCUCUGGGAAUCUUCUCCAAUACUGAAAUAUUUUCCUCCAUCCCACCCACUGCCUCAAAACCUGAUUUUAUUUCGCUGGAAGAAAAUGAGAAGUAGAAUGCAGAUGGGAUGGUGAAGAUUCAUACCCUCUUGGUCUUCAAAGUUUGUGCCUGUAGAUUGCUUAGCUAAACUUCCAGCCUUUACAAGAAUGUUUAAACUAGAAGUUUCUCAGUA
Molecule: long non-coding RNA, 320 nt
Organism: Podarcis raffonei (Aeolian wall lizard)
Lineage: Eukaryota; Metazoa; Chordata; Lepidosauria; Squamata; Lacertidae
Exons: 2
Source: RefSeq, a predicted model, not a curated record